AUGGCAGGCGUGCAGACCAUGGCUCGCUAUGGAAGGCCCUUCCCUUCCCUCUCUCUGUUCGGGCCAUGCUCAGGCAGUCUUUUCUCUUCUCUUCCCGCAAAAAAAGUCUUUUCUCUUCAUGAUCUGAACAUGUUGAAGGCCAUUAUUUCUCCACUGCCGGAGUCUAGCCUCCCUCCGUGGGAUGCCAUGGAGAUGAAACUCCCCUCGACGAAAGAAUUCAAGGGCAUGUGGGAGAGAGAGGAGGUCCAUGGAGAAGAAGCUCUGCUCCAACCCUCCCUGCCUCCUAAUACAAGAUGUCUUUUUUUGUGUGUGCUUGUAUUGCAGCAGCCAUGCCAUGGAGGCUUUGAUGAGCACGAGGGGAAGGCCGCUGCUUCAACCCCGUUAAGCUUACGUGUGGGAUUUGCUUCGGAAGUUGUCCACGUGAGUCAAUGGGUGCUGCUUCAUGUGGGCAUCCUUUCUGUGGUGUAUGUUGGAGAGGUUACACACCUGAUGAUGUUUACGGCUAGGCACAGGAACAAGCAGAGGCCGAGGAAGUGCGGGCACGCGCAGCUGGCCUUGGCAGGUGUAGGAACCGUGCGAGGAAGGUUCAGCGCGCUGCACAAGUCGGGCCACGCCCGGAGCGCCGUGCCAACGCAUGUGUGCGUGGUCGGUGGGUUAGCCAAGAUCUGCAUUCUGCGACUUCAUCUUCACCAUGGACACAAGCAAGGACUGAUUGGUGGUUCUUGGUAG
RNAcentral lists this ribosomal RNA (729 nucleotides) under Triticum aestivum (bread wheat). RNAcentral's name for it is "partial small subunit ribosomal RNA". Lineage: Eukaryota; Viridiplantae; Streptophyta; Magnoliopsida; Poales; Poaceae. The record is from RNAcentral.